This 73-nucleotide transfer RNA is filed under the name bacterium. Its description in RNAcentral is "tRNA-Gln". It matches the Rfam family "tRNA". From Rfam's summary of the family: Transfer RNA (tRNA) molecules are approximately 80 nucleotides in length. The record is from RNAcentral. RNAcentral also lists the same sequence under 3 other names.
UGCCCUAUAGCUCAAUUGGCAGAGCGCCUGACUCUGGAUCAGGAGGUUCCAGGUUCGAAUCCUGGUAGGGCAA